This 23-nucleotide non-coding RNA is filed under the name Arabidopsis thaliana (thale cress). The record is from RNAcentral. RNAcentral also lists the same sequence under 6 other names. Lineage: Eukaryota; Viridiplantae; Streptophyta; Magnoliopsida; Brassicales; Brassicaceae.
ACCUGGUUGAUCCUGCCAGUAGU